This is a non-coding RNA of Lolium perenne, 1751 nucleotides long. NCBI's taxonomy places the organism in Eukaryota, Viridiplantae, Streptophyta, Magnoliopsida, Poales, Poaceae. The record is from RefSeq and is a predicted model, not a curated record.
UUCUCUCCUUAUCGUUCUCCCGAGAUCCGCCCGUGGCCACCCGACGACGCCCCUUUCCCCUCCCCUUUCAGCCACGUCGUCUCCUGAGCCGCCACCCGAUUCAGCCAUGUCGUUCGCGCCGCCACCCGGCAUCUCCUCCUCGCAAAUCGUCCCCCGAUCCAGCCAUGUCGUCCGCGCCGCCCGCCCAGCAAUCGAAGCCCUCCUACCACCGCCGCCAUCCCAACUCCGGGCCGAGGCAGCAGCAGCGCUACAUCCCCAAAUCCGCCGCCCCUCCCGCUCCUAAACCCUCGCCCCCACCAUCGCUCACCACCGCCCUCCGAUCGUCGGCCGCCCCGUCCGCAUCUGGCGCCGGCGGCAGCAGUAGCGCCGAUGGGUUCGUGGCUUACCUGCCGCACGACGAGGCAGUCGCGGCCGGGCUCGGCGGCCUCGACGCCCAGGAGUCGCAGGUCGUCGUCGACCUCCUCAAAGACGCGCUCGCGUCGCUCCUCCGUACCAAGCCUCGCGAGUUCUGGCGCCAGGGUAACCGCAGAACUCCUAUUUUACAUUAGUUGAAAACCAGAAACCUUAGUUCUCAGAUUGGGACCCUGAGUAGAUAAUAACCUGGGAGCUUGACCUGUUAAUUUUCGGGUUGCUUGUUUGAUUUAGCAGAAUUGCUCGAAUACAUUUAUAGUGCAAAUUCUUAUUCAUACUUUUGUUGUUUGUGUAAUUUGCUAAAGCUAUGCUCUAGCGGAUAUCGACUCGUUCAGGUGGGUUUGAUCAGUAAAGAUGACCAAGUGCUUCAUAGUUGGGAUUUAAAGACGUUUCUUAUCUCAUUAGUAGUGUAUAGUUUACCUUCCAUAACCUAGAAUGUAUUACGUUGUAUAAGGUGUCUUAGAUUGAGGAUUAGUUCAUGCUUGAACUCAUACCUAGUUUAUAUACAGGCCGGAUCUCCACGCCAGGGCAGUCACAGAGGCGGCGCCGGUCGGGCAUUUGCCGCGAUGCGGAGCCCGUCGAGCUCGUGCAGGCGGUAUGACAUCGUGGGGCGGCUGCACGAUUUUGGGGAUAACAGCAGCGUCAUCCAGCAACGAGAUAUUCUGCAUAUCUUGUCCCAGAUAAGUAGAGUAGUAUCUUACUUGUACUAUUUUUGUGUGCAAUGAAUUGAGCUCCUGACUUAAUUAUAGGAUGCGGAAUCUGGCUAUUAUGUUUCAUACUACCUGUGCUUAAUUUGGGCUUGUAUGUUUAUCUUGUCUGGUUUGGUUGCGGCAGGCCUCUUUUUUAGAAGCAUGCCGUCUGAUGUUUGGCAGACCGGCGGUUCUGUAGAUGCUAAUGGUAGAAUAACAGAAAAUCAGCUUAUGAAGAGAUGGGGCAGUGAGACUAAUUAAUCACUAACCAUAGCAUCGAGGUUUGCGGAGAGGGCGAGGGUGGCUGUGAAUCCGAUAGGGAGGAGGCUGUUCGAGGUUAUGGAGGCCAAGCACAACAACCUGUGUGUUGCUGCGGAUGUUCAGACAGCAAAACAACUGCUUGAGCUCGCCAACAAGGGAGCUCGGCUUCGGAGUCCGAGCACGCAGGAGGAGGAGCUGGCUGGUGGCGAUUCAGCGAGUAGGCUGGCCGGCAGCGGAGAAGCGAGAAGCCUGGUGAACUUGUAUCUAUUUGUGUAAUAUUUGCUAGUUGGAGAUGAAGUUUGAACCAUAUGGUCGACUUUCUACACUUGUGUUAUUGAUGCAUGCAUGUUAUGAACAUUUGGUUACUUUCUAUAUCUGUUGUGUUACUGA